GACGAACGCUGGCGGCGUGCCUCAGACAUGCAAGUCGAACGAUUAAAGCUCCCGUUCGGGGAGUGCAUAAAGUGGCGCACGGGUGAGUAACACGUAAGUAAUCUACCUUCGAGUGGGGAAUAACGUUCGGAACGAACGCUAAUACCGCAUAAUGCAGCGGCAUCUAUGGAUGACAGUUGUUAAAGNUUUUAUCGCUUGAAGAGGAGCUUGCGGCAGUAUUAGCUAGNGGUAA
This 232-nucleotide ribosomal RNA is filed under the name uncultured bacterium. RNAcentral describes it as "partial 16S ribosomal RNA". It matches the Rfam family "Bacterial small subunit ribosomal RNA", at positions 28 to 254 of the family's 1533-position model. The record is from RNAcentral.